This 492-nucleotide ribosomal RNA is filed under the name uncultured bacterium. RNAcentral describes it as "partial 16S ribosomal RNA". It matches the Rfam family "Bacterial small subunit ribosomal RNA", at positions 29 to 507 of the family's 1533-position model. The record is from RNAcentral.
AGUGAACGCUGGCGGUAGGCCUAACACAUGCAAGUCGAACGGCAGCACAGUAAGAGCUUGCUCUUACGGGUGGCGAGUGGCGGACGGGUGAGGAAUACAUCGGAAUCUACUUUUUCGUGGGGGAUAACGUAGGGAAACUUACGCUAAUACCGCAUACGACCUACGGGUGAAAGCAGGGGAUCUUCGGACCUUUCGCGAUUGAAUGAGCCGAUGUCGGAUUAGCUAGUUGGCUGGGUAAAGGCCCACCAAGGCGACGAUCCGUAGCUGGUCUGAGAGGAUGAUCAGCCACACUGGAACUGAGACACGGUCCAGACUCCUACGGGAGGCAGCAGUGGGGAAUAUUGGACAAUGGGCGCAAGCCUGAUCCAGCCAUACCGCGUGGGUGAAGAAGGCCUUCGGGUUGUAAAGCCCUUUUGUUGGGAAAGAAAAGCAGCAGGUUAAUACCCCGAUGUUCUGACGGUACCCAAAGAAUAAGCACCGGCUAACUUCGUG